Molecule: microRNA precursor, 96 nt
Organism: Nicotiana attenuata
Lineage: Eukaryota; Viridiplantae; Streptophyta; Magnoliopsida; Solanales; Solanaceae
Rfam family: MIR6152 microRNA precursor family
Source: Rfam
UGGACAGAUUAUUGUAUUCGACUGUAUUCACGGUGUGAAACAGGGGAUUACACUGUUUUUAAACGGAAAGUGAAUCAAUUAACAUAAUAGACUCCU